AUGUACCCACGUAUAUUCCGGUUCCUCCGCGCCGUCCGCACCCACCUGACGACUGCUCGCUACGUUUUGUUAGCC
This 75-nucleotide small RNA is filed under the name Xanthomonas campestris. RNAcentral's name for it is "sRNA sX9". It matches the Rfam family "Xanthomonas sRNA sX9". The record is from RNAcentral. Lineage: Bacteria; Pseudomonadati; Pseudomonadota; Gammaproteobacteria; Lysobacterales; Lysobacteraceae. RNAcentral also lists the same sequence under 3 other names.